RNAcentral lists this ribosomal RNA (466 nucleotides) under uncultured Thiobacillus sp. RNAcentral's name for it is "bacterial SSU rRNA". It matches the Rfam family "Bacterial small subunit ribosomal RNA", at positions 913 to 1382 of the family's 1533-position model. Lineage: Bacteria; Pseudomonadati; Pseudomonadota; Betaproteobacteria; Nitrosomonadales; Thiobacillaceae. The record is from RNAcentral.
ACGGGGACCCGCACAAGCGGUGGAUGAUGUGGAUUAAUUCGAUGCAACGCGAAGAACCUUACCUACCCUUGACAUGUCCGGAACUUGCCAGAGAUGGCUUGGUGCCCGAAAGGGAAUCGGAACACAGGUGCUGCAUGGCUGUCGUCAGCUCGUGUCGUGAGAUGUUGGGUUAAGUCCCGCAACGAGCGCAACCCUUAUCAUUAGUUGCUACGCAAGGGCACUCUAAUGAGACUGCCGGUGACAAACCGGAGGAAGGUGGGGAUGACGUCAAGUCCUCAUGGCCCUUAUGGGUAGGGCUUCACACGCCAUACAAUGGUGCAUACAGAGGGCUGCCAACCCGCGAGGGGGAGCUAAUCCCAGAAAGUGCAUCGUAGUCCGGAUUGUAGUCUGCAACUCGACUACAUGAAGUUGGAGUUGCUAGUAAACGCAGGUCAGCCAUACUGCGUUGAAUACGUUCCCGGGGCUU